This 253-nucleotide ribosomal RNA is filed under the name uncultured bacterium. RNAcentral's name for it is "partial 16S ribosomal RNA". It matches the Rfam family "Bacterial small subunit ribosomal RNA", at positions 524 to 776 of the family's 1533-position model. The record is from RNAcentral.
UACGUAGGGGGCAAGCGUUGUCCGGAAUCAUUGGGCGUAAAGCGCGUGUAGGCGGUUCGGUAAGUCGGCUGUGAAAGUCCAGGGCUCAACCCUGGGAUGCCGGUCGAUACUGCCGGACUAGAGUUCGGAAGAGGAGAGUGGAAUUCCUGGUGUAGCGGUGAAAUGCGCAGAUAUCAGGAAGAACACCCGUGGCUAAGGCGGCUCUCUAGUACGGUACUGACGCUGAGACGCGAAAGCGUGGGGAGCGAACAGG